Molecule: transfer RNA, 97 nt
Filed under: Puccinia coronata f. sp. avenae
Lineage: Eukaryota; Fungi; Basidiomycota; Pucciniomycetes; Pucciniales; Pucciniaceae
Rfam family: tRNA
About the family: Transfer RNA (tRNA) molecules are approximately 80 nucleotides in length.
Source: Rfam by way of RNAcentral
GGGCAGAUGGCCGAGUGGUCUAAGGCGCUAGUUUUAGGUUGUAGUCAACGGUCGAAACACUAGUCUUCGGGCGUGGGUUCAAAUCCCACUCUGCUCA